RNAcentral lists this unclassified non-coding RNA (242 nucleotides) under Helicobacter suis. RNAcentral's name for it is "RNase P RNA". It matches the Rfam family "Bacterial RNase P class A", at positions 59 to 323 of the family's 367-position model. From Rfam's summary of the family: Ribonuclease P (RNase P) is a ubiquitous endoribonuclease, found in archaea, bacteria and eukarya as well as chloroplasts and mitochondria. Lineage: Bacteria; Pseudomonadati; Campylobacterota; Epsilonproteobacteria; Campylobacterales; Helicobacteraceae. The record is from RNAcentral.
ACUCAAGACAGGAUUCCAUUUAACGGAUGGCUAGCGUAAGCUAAGGGAAAGUGCCACAGAAAAGAACCGCUCUUUUUAGAGUAAGGGUGAAAAGGUGGGGUAAGAGCCCACCGCACUCCAAGUAAUUGGGGCUGGCUUAGGUAAACCCAAUCCGUAGCAAGAAGUGCAUGGUAGAGUCUUGAAUGUGGCACUUCGCAAGAGGUGGGUUGUAAAACCCAUCCACAGAUAAAUAACCACCCACG